CAGUCGCCGCGGGAAUACGUAGGGUGUAAGCGUUAAUCGGAUUUACUGGGCGUAAAGGGCGCGUAGGUGGUUAUGUAAGUGAGAUGUGAAAUCCCCGGGCUCAACCUGGGAACCGCAUCUUAUACUGCGUAGCUGGAGUGCAGUAGAGGGUAGUGGAAUUUCCGGUGUAGCGGUGAAAUGCGUAGAUGUCGGAAGGAACACUAGUGGCGAAGGCGGCUAUCUGGACUGACACUGACACUGAGGCGCGAAAGCGUGGGGAGCAAACAGGAUUAGAUACCCGGGUAGUCCCUGUCUCUUAUAC
Molecule: ribosomal RNA, 301 nt
Filed under: uncultured bacterium
Lineage: Bacteria
Description: partial 16S ribosomal RNA
Rfam family: Bacterial small subunit ribosomal RNA
Source: RNAcentral